GGUUCUUCUUUCCUUGUUGCUGUGGCUGAGGAUUUUGGGUGCUACCUAUUGAUCCUUGGGCUUAUAGUGUACAAACCUGUGGGCCUUGUAUUUUUAUGGGUUUGAGUGGAAAUAUGUAGCAAAGUUUAUAUGUAUUGGGCUUAGAGAUCUUGUAACAUGAUUUCAUCUAAUGAAUAUCCUCUUUCUUGUUAAAAAAAAAAAAAAUGAAUAAAAUGGAGGC
RNAcentral lists this unclassified non-coding RNA (220 nucleotides) under Hevea brasiliensis (rubber tree). The record is from RNAcentral. Lineage: Eukaryota; Viridiplantae; Streptophyta; Magnoliopsida; Malpighiales; Euphorbiaceae.